Molecule: ribosomal RNA, 458 nt
Filed under: uncultured bacterium
Lineage: Bacteria
Description: bacterial SSU rRNA
Rfam family: Bacterial small subunit ribosomal RNA
Source: RNAcentral
UACGGAAGGCAGCAGUGGGGAAUAUUGCACAAUGGGCGAAAGCCUGAUGCAGCUAUGCCGCGUGUAUGAAGAAGGCCUUAGGGUUGUAAAGUACUUUCAUCGGGGAGGAAAAAACAAAACUAAUAAUUUUAUUUCUUGACGUUACCCGAAAAAGAAGCACCGGCUAACUCCGUGCCAGCAGCCGCGGUAAUACGGAGGGUGCUAGCGUUAAUCAGAAUUACUGGGCGUAAAGAGCACGUAGGUGGUUUUUUUAAGUCAGAUGUGAAAUCCCUGGGCUUAACCUAGGAACUGCAUUUUGAAACUGAAAUACUAGAGUAUCGUAGAGGGAGGUAGAAUUCUAGGUGUAGCGGUGAAAUGCGUAGAUAUCUGGAGGAAUACCUGUGGCGAAAGCGGCCUCCUAAACGAAUACUGACACUGAGGUGCGAAAAGCGUGGGGAAGCAAACAGGGAUUAGAUACC